AUACGGAGGGUGCAAGCGUUAAACGGAAUUACUGGGCGUAAAGCGUACGUAGGCGGUUAUUUAAGUCAGAUGUGAAAGCCCCGGGCUUAACUUGGGAACUGCAUUUGAAACUGGGUAACUAGAGUUUAGUAGAGGGGAGUGGAAUUUCAGGUGUAGCGGUGAAAUGCGUAGAGAUCUGAAGGAACACCAGUGGCGAAGGCGACUCCCUGGACUAAAACUGACGCUGAGGUACGAAAGCGUGGGUAGCAAACGGGAUUAGAAACCCCAGUAGCCC
RNAcentral lists this ribosomal RNA (274 nucleotides) under uncultured bacterium. RNAcentral's name for it is "partial 16S ribosomal RNA". It matches the Rfam family "Bacterial small subunit ribosomal RNA", at positions 523 to 796 of the family's 1533-position model. The record is from RNAcentral.